AACGAACGCUGGCGGCAGGCCUAACACAUGCAAGUCGAACGAGGCAGCAAUGCCUAGUGGCGGACGGGUGAGUAACGCGUGGGAACGUGCCCCUUGGUACGGAAUAGCCCUGGGAAACUGGGAGUAAUACCGUAUGUGGUCGAGAGACGAAAGAUUUAUCGCCAAGGGAUCGGCCCGCGUUGGAUUAGGUAGUUGGUGGGGUAAUGGCCUACCAAGCCGACGAUCCAUAGCUGGUUUGAGAGGAUGAUCAGCCACACUGGGACUGAGACACGGCCCAGACUCCUACGGGAGGCAGCAGUGGGGAAUCUUAGACAAUGGGGGAAACCCUGAUCUAGCCAUGCCGCGUGAUCGAUGAAGGCCUUAGGGUUGUAAAGAUCUUUCAGUGGGGAAGAUAAUGACGGUACCCACAGAAGAAGCCCCGGCUAACUCCGUGCCAGCAGCCGCGGUAA
RNAcentral lists this ribosomal RNA (449 nucleotides) under uncultured bacterium. RNAcentral describes it as "partial 16S ribosomal RNA". It matches the Rfam family "Bacterial small subunit ribosomal RNA", at positions 29 to 523 of the family's 1533-position model. The record is from RNAcentral.